This 74-nucleotide transfer RNA is filed under the name Candidatus Korarchaeum cryptofilum OPF8. Its description in RNAcentral is "tRNA-Tyr (GTA) (tRNA-Tyr-GTA-1-1)". It matches the Rfam family "tRNA". From Rfam's summary of the family: Transfer RNA (tRNA) molecules are approximately 80 nucleotides in length. Their secondary structure includes four short double-helical elements and three loops (D, anti-codon, and T loops). Further hydrogen bonds mediate the characteristic L-shaped molecular structure. tRNAs have two regions of fundamental functional importance: the anti-codon, which is responsible for specific mRNA codon recognition, and the 3' end, to which the tRNAs corresponding amino acid is attached (by aminoacyl-tRNA synthetases). tRNAs cope with the degeneracy of the genetic code in two manners: having more than one tRNA (with a specific anti-codon) for a particular amino acid; and 'wobble' base-pairing, i.e. permitting non-standard base-pairing at the 3rd anti-codon position. RNAcentral also lists the same sequence under 2 other names. Lineage: Archaea; Thermoproteati; Thermoproteota; Candidatus Korarchaeia; Candidatus Korarchaeales; Candidatus Korarchaeaceae. The record is from RNAcentral.
CGGGGCGUAGCUCAGCCUGGUAGAGCGGCCGGCUGUAGACCGGCAGGCCGGGGGUUCGAGUCCCCCCGCCCCGA